Molecule: transfer RNA, 72 nt
Filed under: Laccaria bicolor S238N-H82
Lineage: Eukaryota; Fungi; Basidiomycota; Agaricomycetes; Agaricales; Hydnangiaceae
Description: tRNA-Gly (TCC) (tRNA-Gly-TCC-4-1)
Rfam family: tRNA
About the family: Transfer RNA (tRNA) molecules are approximately 80 nucleotides in length. Their secondary structure includes four short double-helical elements and three loops (D, anti-codon, and T loops). Further hydrogen bonds mediate the characteristic L-shaped molecular structure. tRNAs have two regions of fundamental functional importance: the anti-codon, which is responsible for specific mRNA codon recognition, and the 3' end, to which the tRNAs corresponding amino acid is attached (by aminoacyl-tRNA synthetases). tRNAs cope with the degeneracy of the genetic code in two manners: having more than one tRNA (with a specific anti-codon) for a particular amino acid; and 'wobble' base-pairing, i.e. permitting non-standard base-pairing at the 3rd anti-codon position.
Source: RNAcentral
ACACCUGUGGUGAAGUGUUUAUCAUGCUUGCCUUCCAAGCAAGUGGCACAGGUUCGAUUCCUGUCAGGUGUA